Molecule: ribosomal RNA, 1548 nt
Filed under: Salmonella enterica subsp. enterica serovar Enteritidis
Lineage: Bacteria; Pseudomonadati; Pseudomonadota; Gammaproteobacteria; Enterobacterales; Enterobacteriaceae
Description: partial 23S ribosomal RNA
Rfam family: Bacterial large subunit ribosomal RNA
Source: RNAcentral
GAAUGCUGACAUAAGUAACGAUAAAGCGGGUGAAAAGCCCGCUCGCCGGAAGACCAAGGGUUCCUGUCCAACGUUAAUCGGGGCAGGGUGAGUCGACCCCUAAGGCGAGGCCGAAAGGCGUAGUCGAUGGGAAACGGGUUAAUAUUCCCGUACUUGGUGUUACUGCGAAGGGGGGACGGAGAAGGCUAUGUUGGCCGGGCGACGGUUGUCCCGGUUUAAGCGUGUAGGUGUGUGUUCCAGGUAAAUCCGGUUCACUUUAACACUGAGGCGUGACGACGAGGCACUACGGUGCUGAAGCAACAAAUGCCCUGCUUCCAGGAAAAGCCUCUAAGCAUCAGGUAACAUCAAAUCGUACCCCAAACCGACACAGGUGGUCAGGUAGAGAAUACCAAGGCGCUUGAGAGAACUCGGGUGAAGGAACUAGGCAAAAUGGUGCCGUAACUUCGGGAGAAGGCACGCUGACACGUAGGUGAAGUGAUUUACUCAUGGAGCUGAAGUCAGUCGAAGAUACCAGCUGGCUGCAACUGUUUAUUAAAAACACAGCACUGUGCAAACACGAAAGUGGACGUAUACGGUGUGACGCCUGCCCGGUGCCGGAAGGUUAAUUGAUGGGGUCAGCGCAAGCGAAGCUCCUGAUCGAAGCCCCGGUAAACGGCGGCCGUAACUAUAACGGUCCUAAGGUAGCGAAAUUCCUUGUCGGGUAAGUUCCGACCUGCACGAAUGGCGUAAUGAUGGCCAGGCUGUCUCCACCCGAGACUCAGUGAAAUUGAACUCGCUGUGAAGAUGCAGUGUACCCGCGGCAAGACGGAAAGACCCCGUGAACCUUUACUAUAGCUUGACACUGAACAUUGAGCCUUGAUGUGUAGGAUAGGUGGGAGGCUUUGAAGUGUGGACGCCAGUCUGCAUGGAGCCGACCUUGAAAUACCACCCUUUAAUGUUUGAUGUUCUAACGUGGACCCGUUACCCGGGUUGCGGACAGUGUCUGGUGGGUAGUUUGACUGGGGCGGUCUCCUCCUAAAGAGUAACGGAGGAGCACGAAGGUUGGCUAAUCCUGGUCGGACAUCAGGAGGUUAGUGCAAUGGCAUAAGCCAGCUUGACUGCGAGCGUGACGGCGCGAGCAGGUGCGAAAGCAGGUCAUAGUGAUCCGGUGGUUCUGAAUGGAAGGGCCAUCGCUCAACGGAUAAAAGGUACUCCGGGGAUAACAGGCUGAUACCGCCCAAGAGUUCAUAUCGACGGCGGUGUUUGGCACCUCGAUGUCGGCUCAUCACAUCCUGGGGCUGAAGUAGGUCCCAAGGGUAUGGCUGUUCGCCAUUUAAAGUGGUACGCGAGCUGGGUUUAGAACGUCGUGAGACAGUUCGGUCCCUAUCUGCCGUGGGCGCUGGAGAACUGAGGGGGGCUGCUCCUAGUACGAGAGGACCGGAGUGGACGCAUCACUGGUGUUCGGGUUGUCAUGCCAAUGGCACUGCCCGGUAGCUAAAUGCGGAAGAGAUAAGUGCUGAAAGCAUCUAAGCACGAAACUUGCCCCGAGAUGAGUUCUCCCUGAGACUU